RNAcentral lists this ribosomal RNA (253 nucleotides) under uncultured bacterium. RNAcentral's name for it is "partial 16S ribosomal RNA". It matches the Rfam family "Bacterial small subunit ribosomal RNA", at positions 524 to 776 of the family's 1533-position model. The record is from RNAcentral.
UACGAAGGGGGCUAGCGUUGCUCGUAAUCACUGGGCGUAAAGGGUGCGUAGGCGGGUCUUUAAGUCAGGGGUGAAAUCCUGGAGCUCAACUCCAGAACUGCCUUUGAUACUGAGGAUCUUGAGUUCGGGAGAGGUGAGUGGAACUGCGAGUGUAGAGGUGAAAUUCGUAGAUAUUCGCAAGAACACCAGUGGCGAAGGCGGCUCACUGGCCCGGUACUGACGCUGAGGUGCGAAAGCGUGGGGAGCAAACAGG